RNAcentral lists this ribosomal RNA (308 nucleotides) under Serratia sp. PT10.6. RNAcentral describes it as "partial 16S ribosomal RNA". It matches the Rfam family "Bacterial small subunit ribosomal RNA", at positions 1131 to 1441 of the family's 1533-position model. The record is from RNAcentral. Lineage: Bacteria; Pseudomonadati; Pseudomonadota; Gammaproteobacteria; Enterobacterales; Yersiniaceae.
ACGGGAACUCAAAGGAGACUGCCGGUGACAAACCGGAGGAAGGUGGGGAUGACGUCAAGUCAUCAUGGCCCUUAUGAGUAGGGCUACACACGUGAUACAAUGGCGGAACAAAGAGAAGCGAACCCGCGAGAGGAAGCCGACCCUCAUAAAGUCGGUCGUAGUCCGGAUCGGAGUCUGCAACUCGACUCCAUGAAGUCGGAAUCGCUAGUAAUCGUAGAUCAGAAUGCUACGGUGAAUACGUUCCCGGGCCUUGACACACCGCCCGUCACACCAUGGGAGUGGGUUCAAAAGAAGUAGGUAGCUAACCU